AUGCUGGGCGGUGCGGCGUGGUGGCACGGACAGCAAGGUGGCGAAGGUGAGCAGCUGUGUCUUCGAAGCUUCUUGCUGGACCUGGUGGGAACGCUCGCCGUGACUAGCAUGGGGAUGGGCGAUCUUGUGUUGCUGGAAUCAAGCGCUGGCAUCUGCGGAGACGACCAGGUUGGGGAUGCUUCAGGCGAAAGCCUUGUGCCGACCUUGUUGGCAACAAUGACGGCGACGCCUUUGGGCGCCAUUUCCCUUCUUGAAGGGUCAUUGGGGAGCUGCUGCCACCUGCUUAUUCGUGUGCUCCUGGCGAAAGCUUUAGAACCUUUUUUGGUUCGGACAACGAUGGCAUCUUGA
RNAcentral lists this ribosomal RNA (348 nucleotides) under Triticum aestivum (bread wheat). RNAcentral describes it as "partial small subunit ribosomal RNA". Lineage: Eukaryota; Viridiplantae; Streptophyta; Magnoliopsida; Poales; Poaceae. The record is from RNAcentral.